This 74-nucleotide transfer RNA is filed under the name Candidatus Acetothermia bacterium. RNAcentral's name for it is "tRNA-Met". It matches the Rfam family "tRNA". Rfam says of the family: Transfer RNA (tRNA) molecules are approximately 80 nucleotides in length. Their secondary structure includes four short double-helical elements and three loops (D, anti-codon, and T loops). Further hydrogen bonds mediate the characteristic L-shaped molecular structure. tRNAs have two regions of fundamental functional importance: the anti-codon, which is responsible for specific mRNA codon recognition, and the 3' end, to which the tRNAs corresponding amino acid is attached (by aminoacyl-tRNA synthetases). tRNAs cope with the degeneracy of the genetic code in two manners: having more than one tRNA (with a specific anti-codon) for a particular amino acid; and 'wobble' base-pairing, i.e. permitting non-standard base-pairing at the 3rd anti-codon position. Lineage: Bacteria; Candidatus Bipolaricaulota. The record is from RNAcentral. RNAcentral also lists the same sequence under 2 other names.
GGCGGCGUAGCUCAACUGGUUAGAGCGCUCGGCUCAUAUCCGGGAGGUUCGGGGUUCGAGUCCCUGCGCCGCUA